Molecule: ribosomal RNA, 465 nt
Filed under: uncultured bacterium
Lineage: Bacteria
Description: partial 16S ribosomal RNA
Rfam family: Bacterial small subunit ribosomal RNA
Source: RNAcentral
GACGAACGCUGGCGGCGUGCUUAACACAUGCAAGUCGAACGGAAAGGCCCCUUUGGGGGUACUCGAGUGGCGAACGGGUGAGUAACACGUGAGUAACCUGCCCUUGACUUCGGGAUAACUUCAGAAAACUGGGGCUAAUACCGGAUAGGAAUCCUUGCUGCAUGGUGGGGGUUGGAAAGCUUCGGCGGUUUUGGAUGGACUCGCGGCUUAUCAGCUUGUUGGUGGGGUAGUGGCUUACCAAGGCUUUGACGGGUAGCCGGCCUGAGAGGGCGACCGGCCACAUUGGGACUGAGAUACGGCCCAGACUCCUACGGGAGGCAGCAGUGGGGAAUAUUGCACAAUGGGCGGAAGCCUGAUGCAGCAACGCCGCGUGCGGGAUGACGGCCUUCGGGUUGUAAACCGCUUUCAGCAGGGGCGAAGCUUGUGGUGACGGUACCUGCAGAAGAAGCACCGGCUAACUACGUG